UACAGAGGUCUCAAGCGUUGUUCGGAUUCAUUGGGCGUAAAGGGUGCGUAGGCGGCGCGGUAAGUCGGGUGUGAAAUUUCGGAGCUUAACUCCGAAACUGCAUUCGAUACUGCCGUGCUUGAGGACUGGAGAGGAGACUGGAAUUUACGGUGUAGCAGUGAAAUGCGUAGAGAUCGUAAGGAAGACCAGUGGCGAAGGCGGGUCUCUGGGCUGACACUGACGCUCAUGCACGAAAGCGUGGGGAGCAAACAGG
RNAcentral lists this ribosomal RNA (253 nucleotides) under uncultured bacterium. Its description in RNAcentral is "partial 16S ribosomal RNA". It matches the Rfam family "Bacterial small subunit ribosomal RNA", at positions 524 to 776 of the family's 1533-position model. The record is from RNAcentral.